This 253-nucleotide ribosomal RNA is filed under the name uncultured bacterium. RNAcentral's name for it is "partial 16S ribosomal RNA". It matches the Rfam family "Bacterial small subunit ribosomal RNA", at positions 524 to 776 of the family's 1533-position model. RNAcentral also lists the same sequence under 1 other name. The record is from RNAcentral.
UACGUAGGGUGCGAGCGUUGUCCGGAAUUACUGGGCGUAAAGAGCUCGUAGGCGGUUUGUCACGUCGUCCGUGAAAACUCGGAGCUUAACUCCGAGCUUGCGGGCGAUACGGGCAGACUUGAGUACUACAGGGGAGACUGGAAUUCCUGGUGUAGCGGUGAAAUGCGCAGAUAUCAGGAGGAACACCGGUGGCGAAGGCGGGUCUCUGGGUAGUAACUGACGCUGAGGAGCGAAAGCAUGGGGAGCAAACAGG